UCGUCAUUUCUUGACUGGUUGCCAACCAAAACCGAACAAGAAGAAAUUUUUAUGUCAAGAAGUUCGUAUAUCUAUUUAAAAACUUCUUUCUUGCUUUAGACCCCCCCCCCCUUUCAUUAUUCCUAUUCCUGACUCAGCAGAUCUUCCUUCAAUCACCGGGCGCGGGCGGGCCUGCGCAUGCACACUGAGUGCCACUGAUCGCUAUCGUCCGUAUAAUUAUGCAAAUUAACCAGCCGCCAAACGCAAACCGCCAAUUUAUGCCCGCCAAUUGCAAUUUGAAAAAGCCAUCUUCGCCGUGCCGUUAACAUUUACACAGCACAGUUUUAUCGAGUGCGAUAAAGAAGGGUAAACUAAAGAAGGCCGUUUUAAUAAUAUCAAUUCAACAAUUUUAAUUCAACCACUGAAAUCACACGGACCAGAUUUGGACAAUGACUUGAAAGCUAAGACAUUCGCAGUAGGCUCUACAAGAGAGAGGGAGACCCAAAACCACCUGGAGUCAUACUGAGGAGAUGAAGUCAGUGAACAUGACCUGGGGGGGGGGGGGCCGCUGGGGUACCGGUAGUUUCCAGAAGAAGCCCAGCUCAGAAACGCCAGGAGUGGAGAUCCGAAUAUUUCGUUGCUGCCCUCCAUGCGAGGAGGCUGUAAGUUAGGUACAUCGCAUCUACCAGCAAAGAACGUGUGCCAGUACAGGAAAGGAAUGUACCUGUCGCACGUGAACUCUUCAGAGGCAGUGAGGACAACAAGAUCUGCAAGCAAGUGAUCCUUUUUAUACAUCGCACCUACCAGCAAAGAUCAAGUGCCACUACAGGAAAGGAAGGUACCCGUCUCGCGUUUAUUCUUCAGCCAGUGAGGGCCCCAAGAUCUCAAUAAAUAAUAAUUAAAAAGACUCCUUUAUCAUUCCUUUAAAAAUAGUACAUAUUAUUUAUUGAAGGUAAAUGCUUAGAUGCAUUAUAUUCAAAUUUUGUCCCCAAGCUAGCUUGUAAAAAUUGGAUUGACUACAUAUUUACUGUGUAAGUUAAUGAUCUUUGUUGACACAUAAUACAAGAAUUAUACACAGCAUGUUACAGUUUGUAACAAUUUUCUUUCAUUAAAUUCCUAGUUUUGAUACCAUACAGAUAUGUUUUUUGUGACUUUUGUCAUUCUCUGAUGUUAUUUUUGUACAGAUUUAAAGAGACUGAGGGAUUGAUUUACUAGAGCAAGUUUACAGUCCAAUCCUGUUAUAUUGUGCAUGUGGAAAGUAACAGGUUUCAAUUCCAUGCGAAAAUUUUUCCUUGAUUCAUUUCAUCAGUCCUAUGUGCAAGGAUAAUCAUUUCACUUGUCCAUGCACAUUGUUAUAACAGGAGUGGACAUUCAAUGUAAAGAUAAUUGAAGAUAAUUAAUUGAAAUAACCGCCUGAGGGGGGGGGGUGUUGGUACCAAUAUUAUAAUGUGUGUGUGCGCAAAGAAAACGAAGGAGUGAUUAUACGAGAAGAGUGAAAGAUCAGUAAUGUACAUAUCCACAUGAUUCAUUUUUGUUUAUGCUAUACAUUGCAGGGUGUUUCUAACUGGUACCACUUGACAAUUUGUGUUUCCAACUGGUCCUAACUGGUGCUUCCAACUUGUUCUAACUGGCACCAGUUGACAACUGGUGUUUCCAAAUGGUUUUAACUGGCACCAGUUGACAACUCAUGUUUCCAACUGGUCCUAACUGGCACCAGUUGACAAUUGGUGUUUCCAACUGGUUUUAACUGGCACCAGUUGACAACUCAUGCUUCCAACUGGUCCUAACUGGCACAAGUUGACAAUUGCUGUUUCCAACUGGUUUGAACUGGCACCAGUUGACAACUUGUGUUUCCAACUGGUCCUAACUGGCACCAGUUGACAAUUGGUGUUUCCAACUGGUUUUAACUGGCACCAGUUGACAACUCAUGUUUCCAACUGGUCCUAACUGGUACCAGUUAGGACCAGUUGCCAACUGGUAUUUCCAACUGGUACCAGUUACAAUUUGUCAACUGGAUUCCAGUUGAUUCCAGUAUUCCAAUUUCCAUAUUGAAUCCAGUUCGCUAACUGGAAUCAACUGGUACCAGUACCAGUUGGAUGAACUGGUCCUUAACUGGUUUUUUGACCUGGGUUGUAUCAAGUAGUUCCAUUUUGUGGAGUGUUUUGUAUGGAUAAAAAAACCUUGGUCUCUUCCCUCUCGGAGGCGGAGCCAUAUCUUGUGAAAAAUGUAGAAAUACUCGAAAAAGUCGAAUGUAAACCGCGUAAGUUGAUCUGUCAGAAAGCAGAGUUCGCACUGCACACAAUAGUGCUAAUUACGGCGUGCAUGCGAUGCGCAAUACAACGCAAAACGGUGUAACAAUGAUUGUAAUUCCGAAUGUGCGCAGUCAUGCACGAAGCAGGCGAGGGUAGGAAACAAUGCAAGCACAAAGCAAUCAAUAGUAGGCGUGCGAGCACGAGUGUGGCAUGUUAUAGUAGGAUACGUAGCGUGCACGAAGCACUCAAUGAGUUAAUAUUCAAUAACUUCGUUAUUUGUUAUCCGAUUUUUAUCAAACUUUCAGCAUUUUGCUUUGUGAAUUUUACUCUAUGUAUUGAUAUGUAAAUAUCUCCAGCCUGGACCAUCCCUUCAUAAGGUAAACUCUUUGGUAAAAAUUAUUUAUUUGUAAAAGAAAAGCAAGAUCUGCAAAGAUAUCGUUUUCUUAAUAUCUUUUGAUUUUUGGCCUCAGUGCAUAUCAUUUCUCUAUAAAUUAGCUAAAUCGAAGUCCUGGUUAAAAGACAAUUUUAGAUGUUUCUCAGUCUUCUCAUGCUCAUCUAUUCUCAUAUUCGUCACAUCUUUUCAUAUUUCCACAAUACUUUUACUUGCCUCAUACCAGCGCUGGUGCUCACACGCAUUAUUCAUAUAUUCUGUACUCUUAUGGGGUGUUGCAAGAAACUUGCAAUUGAUCGCAAGUCAAUUUCAGGUCCCAAAAUCAAUUAAAAUUCAUGCAUUUCAUUGCAAAUUUGCAACUGACUGAUGGCCUGCUUCUUGCAUCAACAAGUAUAAAUUGAUUUGCUUUAGUUUAAAUUGAUCUAUUACUUGUAAAUUUGCAUCAUAAAUUUGCAAUUGAUCGCAAAUAUUUUCUUGCAACACCCCAACAUUAAUAUCAAGGCAUCUAUGAAUUUGACAUACAUCAAGUAACAGAAGCAUCACCAGGCUUAAAAUUAUAAAAUGAAUGAAUGUAAGUCAUUAUAAUAAGCUUAAGAUACAGUACAUAAAGCACUCAAGAAAUACAUGUGCAUAUAAAGUGCUGUUGUAACUGUAUUGAAGAAAAAAUCAACCAAAUACACUGAGAUGUGAAGCAAAUCUAGUCGUCAAUAUCCUUCAUAAAACUCUUAGAUUAAGAAAGACAAAAGUCAUGUUAUCUGUAUGGGUAACAAAUACUCUACUCCACAAAACUAUUCAAAUAAUAGUUUAAAUUAAACUCCAUAUAUCUCAUACCAUAAGGAAGACCAAACAAUUUAGAUUAGAAGGCCAUACCCCGAUGUGUACAAGACAACCUUUUACUUGAGGUGGAGUGGGCCUGUUUCUAUAAAAUAUAUGUACAUAAACGAAAGAGCAAUCAAAAGAAACAAACGUACUAGCAAAAUGGUGCUAUAUAUAUUUUGUUAAGGAGAACAAAUCAGCAAAAUAAAGCAAAUGAAUACUCUGUGAAACUCCUAAAAACAAAACUAGACAAAAGCAUUAUCAUAUACGACAUAAAAUUCUUAGAAUACAAAAAAAAAUUCAUAUACCUGACUUACAUGUAUUAAAAUACAAUAAUAUGGCAAGUCAACUAUAUAUUGUUGUUUGUGGGUGGGGGUGGGACGCAAAGCAAAAUCCUCGACCACUAAGCCAAAACCCAAUCCUGAUACAUUCAGAAACCUGAAAUUGAUGAUUGCACAAACAUGAAUAUCCAAAACAUUUCUGGGGUGAUUCCAUACGUGUCGUACGGGACAUUUAGAGAACAUUUGACAGUUUUUUUACAAGAAAAACAAAAAAUAUUCCAGUAACUAAAGGUGAUCAUCAAGUACUACCAGAGUGUUAGAAAAACCAAGACUUAACAUGACUUGAAUUCACAUCCUGUAUAAUAGAGAUUUAAAAUAGUAAUGUGUCGUACGGACGCAGAAAAGGUGGCUUUUUUCGAAACCUCAAGUUUGUACUCUAAAGUCUGUGAGUUGGUCAGAUAAUUUUCAAAGAAACUGAACUCAAAUUGAUAUUCAAUUACCCAAAAACAAACACAUCUAUGAAAGAAAGCAAAAUAAAACAUUCAUGAAUAAAUAAAGCAAAUUAACAUUUUCGAGAACAUUGUGGCGUACGGGACACUCAAAAUGUGUCGUACGGGACAUCUCUAAAUUGAAGCCAAACUUUCUUACUUUAUGUCUCUUUGACUUUUUCAAUCAUUUUAUUUGGCUGAUGAUAAUGAUAGUCCUAUCAAAAUAAAGACAUUCAUUAUGUUAGAAACCGCAAUUGGCUGAAUAUUUCUGUCAAUAUAUCAUAAACAAAAUAAUGUGUCGUACGGGACACUUGUGUGUCGUACAGGGCACUUCUGUGUCGUACGGGACACUUGUGUGUCGUACAGGCACUUGCGUGUUGUACUGGACAGUCUGAAUAAAAUAAUGAACUUUAAUCAAUCAGAAGGGGAGCAUUGCCCCUAAAUUCUUCCUUUUUAAUGAAAAGUCGUUUAAUAAGUAGUCAUUCAAGACAAUAUAAUUACUAGUAAGUUACCUCAAUAUAUACAAUCGGGAGCAAUAUGUUAUCAUUUUUUUCACGAUGGGAAAUGCACAAGGUUUCGCAGCAUUUUUACGAGCUGUAAAACUUGAGGUUUUGUGUGAAGUUAUAUUUCAGUGAAUUAAUUGAUGAUUUCCAAUACACUAUUUAAACAAUUUAAACCCAAUGAAUGAAACUGUUUGUGUAAAUUAUGGGGCUAAAAUGUUAUAAUUUUUCAUAUAAAAUGUAUAUAUACACGAUCUAUGUCACAACUGUCACUUGUAAUUCCACAAAAUAUUUUUUUCUAAAGAAAUACGGUUCUACUUUUUCAAACCUUUCUGCAUUUCAUGAAAACAUAUGGUUUGUCUUAUUUUCCAGAUUUUUUUUGAACAACAUGGUUUGUCUUAUUUUCCAGAUUUUUUUUACAACUUGAAAAAAGUACGGAGUUUCAGUACUGUAUAUAAACAAAUUGGUGAUCAUCAAGGGAAGUCCAAAUAGUUGAUUGAUAUGUAUUUUUUUUUUACAUCUUAUAAUAAUUCCACAUUAGCAUGCAAGAGGAAGUCAUCUUCCAGGCUAGGGUGAAUCAAUUAUAAAGGUUUUCUUUUCAUGCUCAGUGACAGAGAAAUUAACCUGCUCUGACCAGUGAAAAUCACCAGUUUAGCUGAAGGGAUUCACAAAAGAAUACACCUACAUGAAAUCAAUUAAAAUGGUUAGAAUCACCUCUUUCAUGAUUGAUUGAUUGAAUGGUUUAUUUAUUUCAAAUAUUCACUGAAAAUAGCAGCCAAAGGCUGAAUUACAUUCAGUUUACAGAUGGCAUAUACAGACAUAUACAAAAAUAUACAACUUAGAAUAAAAUACGCAAAUAUCAAAAUGAAAUUAUAUUACAAAAUAAUUAUACAUAAAUAUGAAAGUAAUUGACAUACCCAGCAUAUGAGUUGGAAGACUCAGAGGUAGAAUGAAGUACAUGCAGUGAGAACAUUGUUAGAAAGAAAGACAAAAUGAAAUAAGAGGAAGAGAGGGGGAGAGACAGGAACAGAGUUAAAGAGAUUUGGUAUUUAACAAAGAUGGAAAAAAAAUUAUCGGAAAUAGUAAUCAUAAUGCAACAAAUGAAAAACUAAGGAAGAAACAGAUCAUAUUGGGAUGCAUGUCCCCCUUCUUAAACGCUUUUUGUCUAGCAUUUAUUAGUGUUUUGAUGUAUGGCGUCAUCCAGCAUACACGUUUACCUCGAUGUAUUUCGUCUCUCUUUGUGGCAGUGAUCUACUAUUCACAACCGGACAAUGAAGUUGCUACUCAAUUCAUGUUCUAUGGAGAUAAAAAAAGUAUUUUUCAGUUCACUUUAUGUCAAAUCAAUUUCUUGAAUUAAAAUAGACCUACUAUUUAUAGUUUCUGAAUCCAAAUCCUGCAAUUAAAUGCAUUAUAUAUUAUGUGUCGUAAGGGACAACUUUUAAUAGGACAAUUAUUGAAAAAUAAAGGACAGUGAUUAGAUCCUUAUGGGAUAAAUCGAUCACCCAUGGGUCAAAGAAAGAGAAACUGAUAUUGUGAAAUUGCAUCAUCAAAAAUAAAAUUGUAGGAUAAAAUUUUGCACUUUUAUGUGUCGUACGGGACAUUGCCAAAAAUAGGUUCGGAAAAAUCAGGGCUGCCCCUAUUAUGGAUCAUGAAAAUGUUGUAGAUAUUAUUUGGAACCAUCAAUGAUACAUUAUUCCAUUGACCUGCAAUAUUUUCAAUCUUCUCGUGCUUUGCCAAUAAUUGUUUCAGGCAGUAUUUGUACUUGACUAUUUAAUUAGCAAAAUUAUUGAAAAUUGAAAAUUCCAUUGUUCCUCCCCCAAAAAAUAUAUCUGAUUUCACUUUUGGUUAAAACUCGUAAUUUUCAUAAAAUUUAGGUAUCAUAGUAAAAUAUUACACUACUUAUGACUUAUUGAAAGCAUGUUGAAAUUUAUGAUAUUUUUGAAGUUCUAGUGUGGAAUCGCCCUAUGGAUCUAUAUAGCCAAAAUAAUAACAGUUCCAUGUCUUCUGACUCCAUAAUUACCAGAGGAAUACUAUAUGUUGGAUAUAUACAAAUUUGAUCAAUAAAACUGUAAAAGAGAUAUUCUAAUAAAAAACUUUUGAUUUGAGAUCCAACGCGCAAUGUUCACUUUCCAACAAUGAGCAGCUCGCCACCAACAGGAGAUAGGUACCAGUGACGCCCUGGAAUAGACCGGUUUACUAAUAUAGUCAAAUUUAUGGAUGUUUCUUCCAUCGGGGCCUAGUAACGAGUUAUUCUAUUAACCUGUACCUAUUAAUGGUAUUUCAAUACUUGGAAUCCACUUUGCAUAUAUUAGUUGUUGCUAUUUUCGGCAAAUAUCAGGCAAGCUUUCCGGUUGUUAGAAGCAACCUUUGUUAAACUGGUAUGCAUAAAAUCUGAAUAUGUUAGUAAACCGGUCUAUUGAUCCUUGUUUAAUUCAUAUAAAAUUAGAAUGCAUAUAAUUAGAAAUGUUUAUUUUGCAGGUUUUAUUCUUGCCUGCAUUCUUUUGCGAAAAAAGUCAUGAAAUGAUCAGCGCGAUGUUUUUGUUUAAAAAAU
Lytechinus pictus (painted urchin) is the source of this 7258-nucleotide long non-coding RNA. RefSeq lists it as uncharacterized. The record is from RefSeq and is a predicted model, not a curated record. The transcript is spliced from 4 exons. Lineage: Eukaryota; Metazoa; Echinodermata; Echinoidea; Temnopleuroida; Toxopneustidae.